This 428-nucleotide ribosomal RNA is filed under the name Bacteroidota bacterium. RNAcentral describes it as "Bacteroidetes bacterium partial 16S ribosomal RNA". It matches the Rfam family "Bacterial small subunit ribosomal RNA", at positions 355 to 776 of the family's 1533-position model. The record is from RNAcentral. Lineage: Bacteria; Pseudomonadati; Bacteroidota.
UAGGGAAUCUUCCGCAAUGGACGCAAGUCUGACGGAGCAACGCCGCGUGAGUGAAGAAGGAUCUCGGUUCGUAAAACUCUGUUGUUAGAGAAGAACAGCGCAUAGAGUAACUGUUAUGCGUGUGACGGUAUCUAACCAGAAAGCCACGGCUAACUACGUGCCAGCAGCCGCGGUAAUACGUAGGUGGCAAGCGUUGUCCGGAUUUAUUGGGCGUAAAGCGAGCGCAGGCGGUUAGAAAAGUCUGAAGUGAAAGGCAGUGGCUCAACCAUUGUAGGCAUUGGAAACUGUUUAACUUGAGUGCAGAAGGGGAGAGUGGAAUUCCAUGUGUAGCGGUGAAAUGCGUAGAUAUAUGGAGGAACACCGGUGGAGAAAGCGGCUAUCUGGUCUGUAACUGACGCUGAGGCUCGAACGCGUGGGGAGCGAACAGG